RNAcentral lists this ribosomal RNA (728 nucleotides) under Pochazia shantungensis. RNAcentral's name for it is "partial large subunit ribosomal RNA". The record is from RNAcentral. Lineage: Eukaryota; Metazoa; Arthropoda; Insecta; Hemiptera; Ricaniidae.
CCCGUCUACACAAAGGUACUGUGCUGGAAUUAAUUAAUUAGGAAUCAAUUAUUACUUUGUCUUUGAUUCUAUUUUAGGGGAUAAGCUCUAUUUUAUAUAAAUUUUUUAUUUUUAUUGUAGGAUUAGUAUUUCCACCAUUUAAUUUUUAAAAAAUGUUUUUUAUGGUUUUAUUUAAUUUUUUUUGGGCUUUUUAUUAAACUUUUUUAUUUAACAAUGAUUUAUUAGUAAAAUAAAACUUUUUUUAUGAAAUCCGCAAAAAUUUUUUUCCCUGUUUAUUAAAAAAAAUUUUUUUUGUUUUUUUUGGGGGUUUGGCCCGCUCCAAGAUAAUUUUAAAAAACCCCCGUUUUUUUACUGUGCAAAGGGAGCCUAAUAAAUUGUUUUUUUAAUGGGGUUUGGAAAGAAAGGUUUGACGGAAAAAACCCCUUUUUUUUUAAAUUUUUUUGAAAUUUUUUUUUGGGGUAAAAUUUUCAAAUUUUUUUGGGGGGCGAUAAGACCCCUUAGAUUUUUAAAAAAUAUUAUUUUUUUUUUUUUUUGUUGUUUUUAAUUAAAGUUUUUUUGUAUUUUUUGGUUGGGGUGAUAAACAAAAAUUUAAACUUUGUUUUUUUUUUACAUUUAUUUAUGGUUUUUUGGAUCCUUUAUUAUUGAUUUAAAGAUAAAGAUACCUUAGGGAUAACAGCGUUAUUUAUUUGGAGAGUUCUUAUCGAUAAGAAAGAAGUGCCCCUGACAAU